GUUAGGAAUAUUGGACAAUGGGCGAAAGCCUGAUCCAGCCAUGCCGCGUGAACGAUGAAGGCCUUCGGGUUGUAAAGUUCUUUAGCCGAUGAUUAUAAUGACUGUAGUCGGAAAAUAAGCCCCGGCUAACUUCGUGCCAGCAGCCGCGGUAAUACGAAGGGGGCGAGCGUUAUUCGGAAUCACUGGGCGUAAUGCGUGCGUAGGCGGUUUUGUAAGUUAGGAGUGAAAGCCCAGGGCUCAACCUUGGAAUUGCUCUUAAAACUGCAAGGCUCGAAUCUCGGAGAGGAUAGCGGAAUUUCCAGUGUAGCAGUGAAAUGCGUAGAUAUUGGAAGGAACACCAGUGGCGUAAGCGGCUAUCUGGACGAGUAUUGACGCUGAGGCACGAAAGCGUGGGGAUCAAACAGGAUUAGAUACCCUGGUAGUCC
RNAcentral lists this ribosomal RNA (425 nucleotides) under uncultured bacterium. RNAcentral describes it as "partial 16S ribosomal RNA". It matches the Rfam family "Bacterial small subunit ribosomal RNA", at positions 354 to 796 of the family's 1533-position model. The record is from RNAcentral.